GACGAACGCUGGCGGCGUGCUUAACACAUGCAAGUCGAGCGGUAAGGCCCUUUCGGGGGUACACGAGCGGCGAACGGGUGAGUAACACGUGGGUGACCUGCCCUUAGCUCUGGGAUAAGCCUGGGAAACUGGGUCUAAUACCGGAUACGACUCCGCGGUGCAUGCUGUGGGGUGGAAAGCCUUGUGCGGCUGGAGAUGGGCCCGCGGCCUAUCAGCUUGUUGGUGGGGUGAUGGCCUACCAAGGCGACGACGGGUAGCCGGCCUGAGAGGGCGACCGGCCACACUGGGACUGAGACACGGCCCAGACUCCUACGGGAGGCAGCAGUAGGGAAUCUUGCGCAAUGGGCGAAAGCCUGACGCAGCGACGCCGCGUGAGGGAUGACGGCCUGG
This 390-nucleotide ribosomal RNA is filed under the name uncultured bacterium. RNAcentral's name for it is "bacterial SSU rRNA". It matches the Rfam family "Bacterial small subunit ribosomal RNA", at positions 28 to 419 of the family's 1533-position model. The record is from RNAcentral.